RNAcentral lists this long non-coding RNA (1493 nucleotides) under Hordeum vulgare. RNAcentral's name for it is "long non-coding RNA (HVUL_LNC002267)". Lineage: Eukaryota; Viridiplantae; Streptophyta; Magnoliopsida; Poales; Poaceae. The record is from RNAcentral.
GAUUUAGCAGGUAAGUCUGACUUCUCACCUGAAUGCACCUGAAAAUAAACCUUGACUUCUGACUGUUGCAAGAAAGCUACAUUUUAAGUGCGGUACAUAUCAAGCAUAAAAUGAAAGAGAUGACUUAAGAGGAGAAAAAUCACAGUAGGAUUCCUAGAACGGGAAGACCUCAGAUCUUGGAUCUGGCUGCUCUUGGACAGGGAAGACCUUGAAUCUUAGGUUUCUUUUCUCCUGGUCAUGGAAGAUGUCAAAGCUUGGGACUGGUUGCUCGGGUUUGAGAGAUGCAGAUCAACCUUUAUGGCCAGGCUGUGAACCGGCUUCUCCAACGUCUUGAGACCGAGCCAGAUCAGGUUUGAGAGUGGUAGCUAGACCAUCCCAUCAAUCUAUCUUCUGUUGUUGCAGUAAAGACCAAGUCUGUUUAAGGAAUUAUAGGAAGACAUGUUAGUUUUGUCCCUUGUCACUCAUACAUCUUCUGCAUUUUCAUCAUUAUAUUGUAGUUUUACCUGAAGUCAAAGCUUGGUUUACAGGACACUAAGAACCAUUGUAUGUUCUUGCAGAUUGUUGGCUGAGCUUACACCCCUUCAGAAAAUUCGAAAGAAUGAGGUCUUCCACUCAACAUAUACACCCAACUUUUCUUUUUCUUUUUUGCUUUUCAGUUUCUCAUGUUCUACCAUAAAGCACCAAGUGUCCAUAUAUGUAUUGAAUUUUAACUUCACUCUUUUUAUUUGUUAUGAAAUUUUGCUCAUGCCCUUCACCGAACCUUCCUUUUUAGGAAAUUUUGCAAGUGGAGAUUAGAAGGAUUAUUCUAAACUGGUGGAUGAAGCUAUGUGUUCUCUUAGUUUAGUGGACUUUUAUAUGUUUGCAUAGUUUUUGUUCUUCAAAAUGAAGCUUGGAAUAUUUUAGAAUUUUUUAGCGAACUUAAGUUUCAUGUAUGAAGGAUUGUCAUUGGAAAUAGAUACAUUUUUGUUGUAGAAGUUUUAUGUCAGACUUACUAUCUUGUAAACUAAGUUUACGUAUGUUCGAACUUAAACCUGGAUGGCUGAUUCAACAAUUUCUUCUUUGUCGUUGUGAACCAACCUUUGCGUGCGUAAUUCAACAUGUUUUUUUGGUCAUUUUAUAGUUAAUCAAACGGACAAAUAAACACUAGCAUAGAGUAGAGGAUUCGGCCAUCACACACAUCUCAUGCAUCAGAUCAAAUUCACUAGUAACUCACAAGUUCUCUCAUACAAAUUUAACUACUAUCUCAAUUUCCAGCGAAGGUUAACAGUAACAAGAGGAGAGAUGGUAACAAGAGAAGAGAUAGAUUCAGAUAUUAGUUCCUAGUCAAUUCAAGUUGUAGAUGUAGAAGCUGUAGGUGAUGAAGAAGAACAACCGUGGAGAGCUUGAGUUGCAGAAGAUCUGAGGAUGGGGUUGAGGUGUUGCAGAAGAAUAGUAGCAGAGGAGCUUCAGGGAUGCACUGCAUCACAGAUACGCUAGAAAAAAGAGCAGCGGGG